Molecule: long non-coding RNA, 654 nt
Organism: Pleuronectes platessa (European plaice)
Lineage: Eukaryota; Metazoa; Chordata; Actinopteri; Pleuronectiformes; Pleuronectidae
Exons: 3
Source: RefSeq, a predicted model, not a curated record
CCAAUCAGCACGGAGCUCGAAUUCCCCUGACAUGCCACAGCAUCUUUUCUGCGGUGACAUCACACGACCCUUUAAAACGUUUAAAUGGCCUGAUGGGAUCAUGAGAGGUCACGACCAGAGAAACAAACACGGUGCAGGUUUAUCAGUGAGGAGAAUCACUACCAUCUCUAAACGACUCAGACGUUUCACUCUUAUCAAGCUCACUACAGAUCUGGUUUGCACAGAUGCCCCGCCCCAAUGAAGCUCAGGCUGCUCCGAUUGGCCAGCUGGCCCACUCUUUUGUGAUUGGUCAACAACUUCCAACGUGAGUAGGGCAUGUCGACGAACAUAAUGCAGAUCUGAAGCAUCGUGUCACAUGACAUCACGGAAACGUCAGCCGGACUUCUGACACAGCGUUCCAGGAGCUUCAGCGUUUUCUAACCGCAGACUUUUUAAACUUUAGUCAACUUUUACAUUCACAACAAAACCCACAACACACUGGAGAAACACUGAAAAGCCUCAUGUCUCCUUUUAUUUGUGUCAUUAGUUUCAUGAGGUCAAUGCAAUCCGACAGGUUGACAUCACUCUGAGGGGGAUUCAUGAAUAUUGUCCCUGAUAAAUAAAUGGAUAAAUUAAAUCAAGUUAAUUAAAAAUGUUCUGUGUACCUUCAUUGUU